RNAcentral lists this ribosomal RNA (468 nucleotides) under uncultured bacterium. RNAcentral's name for it is "partial 16S ribosomal RNA". It matches the Rfam family "Bacterial small subunit ribosomal RNA", at positions 28 to 507 of the family's 1533-position model. The record is from RNAcentral.
GACGAACGCUGGCGGCGUGCUUAACACAUGCAAGUCGAACGGAAAGGCCCUGCUUUUGUGGGGUGCUCGAGUGGCGAACGGGUGAGUAACACGCGAGUAACCUGCCCUUGAAUUUGGGAUAACUUCAGGAAACUGGGGCUAAUACCGGAUAGGAGCUCCUGAUGCAUGGUGGGGGUUGGAAAGAUUCGGCGGUUGGGGAUGGUCUGGAGGGUUAUGAGCUUGUUGGUGGGGUAGUGGCUUACCAAGGUUUUGACGGAUAGCCGGCCUGGGAGGGUGACCGGGCACAUGGGUACUGAGGGACGGCGCAGAAGCCUACGGGAGGCAGCAGUGGGGAGUAUGGCGCAAUGGGGGGAAGCCUGAUGCAGCAACGUCGCGUGCGGGAUAACCGCUUUCGGGUUAUAAACCGAUUUCGCCUGUGACGAAGCGUGAGUGACGGUAAUGGGUAAAAAAGCACCGGCUAACUACGUG